AGAGAGUGCAAGCGUUAAUCGGAAUUACUGGGCGUAAAGCGCGCGUAGGCGGAUAUUUAAGUCGGAUGUGAAAGCCCCAAGCUUAACUUGGGAACUGCAUUCGAUACUGGGUAUCUAGAGUAUGGUAGAGGAAAGUGGAAUUUCCGGUGUAGCGGUGAAAUGCGUAGAUAUCGGAAGGAACACCAGUGGCGAAGGCGGCUUUCUGGACCAAUACUGACGCUGAGGUGCGAAAGCGUGGGGAGCAAACAGGAUUAGAGACCCUGGUAGUCCACGCUGUCAACGAUGAGAACUAGACGUUGGGAAGGUUACUUCUUAGUGUCGCAGCUAACGCGAUAAGUUCUCCGCCUGGGAGUACGGCCGCAAGGUUA
RNAcentral lists this ribosomal RNA (368 nucleotides) under uncultured organism. RNAcentral describes it as "partial 16S ribosomal RNA". It matches the Rfam family "Bacterial small subunit ribosomal RNA", at positions 527 to 896 of the family's 1533-position model. The record is from RNAcentral.